RNAcentral lists this ribosomal RNA (376 nucleotides) under uncultured bacterium. Its description in RNAcentral is "bacterial SSU rRNA". It matches the Rfam family "Bacterial small subunit ribosomal RNA", at positions 29 to 417 of the family's 1533-position model. The record is from RNAcentral.
AAUGAACGCUGGCGGCAUGCCUAACACAUGCAAGUCGAACGAGACCCCUGACUUCGGUUGGCGGGUCUAGUGGCGCACGGGUGCGUAACGCGUGGGAAUCUGCCCUUAGGUCCGGAAUAACUCAGGGAAACUUGAGCUAAUACCGGAUGAUGACGUAAGUCCAAAGAUUUAUCGCCUAAGGAUGAGCCCGCGUAGGAUUAGCUUGUUGGUGAGGUAAAGGCUCACCAAGGCGACGAUCCUUAGCUGGUCUGAGAGGAUGAUCAGCCACACUGGGACUGAGACACGGCCCAGACUCCUACGGGAGGCAGCAGUGGGGAAUAUUGGACAAUGGGCGGAAAGCCUGAUCCAGACAAUGCCGCGUGAGUGAUGGAAGGCC